RNAcentral lists this non-coding RNA (23 nucleotides) under Rattus norvegicus (Norway rat). Lineage: Eukaryota; Metazoa; Chordata; Mammalia; Rodentia; Muridae. The record is from RNAcentral.
UUCGAUGAACUGUUCACACCCAC